GACGAACGCUGGCGGCGUGCUUAACACAUGCAAGUCGAGCGGUAAGGCCCUUUCGGGGGUACACGAGCGGCGAACGGGUGAGUAACACGUGGGUGACCUGCCCUCAGCUCUGGGAUAAGCCUGGGAAACCGGGUCUAAUACUGGAUAUGACUCCAUGACGCAUGUUGUGGGGUGGAAAGCCUUGUGCGGCUGAGGAUGGGCCCGCGGCCUAUCAGCUUGUUGGUGGGGUGANGGCCUACCAAGGCGACGACGGGUAGCCGGCCUGAGAGGGCGACCGGCCACACUGGGACUGAGACACGGUCCGGACUCCUACGGGAGGCAGCAGUGGGGAAUAUUGGACAAUGGGCGAAAGCCUGAUCCAGCGACGCCGCGUGGGUGAAGAAGGCCUGCGGGUUGUAAAGCCCUUUCAGUGGGGAAGAAAAGCCUCGACCUAACACGUCGGGUCUUGACGUAACCCAUAGAAGAAGCACCGGCUAACUCUGUGCCAGCCGCCGCUGU
Molecule: ribosomal RNA, 498 nt
Filed under: uncultured bacterium
Lineage: Bacteria
Description: bacterial SSU rRNA
Rfam family: Bacterial small subunit ribosomal RNA
Source: RNAcentral